AUGGCCCUGAAUCAAGGCUGGCAAUUUUCUGAAGCUGUUGGUUUCAAAUUGAAGCCUAAAGUGGUAUCUAGCUAUGGUCUGUUGGCCAUUUCAGAAUUUUAGAAAUGUGAUGAUCAAUUCAUUAGAAACAACU
Molecule: small nucleolar RNA, 133 nt
Organism: Cavia aperea (Brazilian guinea pig)
Lineage: Eukaryota; Metazoa; Chordata; Mammalia; Rodentia; Caviidae
Source: Ensembl